Molecule: ribosomal RNA, 464 nt
Filed under: Vreelandella stevensii
Lineage: Bacteria; Pseudomonadati; Pseudomonadota; Gammaproteobacteria; Oceanospirillales; Halomonadaceae
Description: partial 16S ribosomal RNA
Rfam family: Bacterial small subunit ribosomal RNA
Source: RNAcentral
CCUACGGGCGGCAGCAGUGGGGAAUAUUGGACAAUGGGCGAAAGCCUGAUCCAGCCAUGCCGCGUGUGUGAAGAAGGCCUUCGGGUUGUAAAGCACUUUCAGUGGGGAAGAAAGCCUUGGGGCUAAUACCCUCGAGGAAGGACAUCACCCACAGAAGAAGCACCGGCUAACUCCGUGCCAGCAGCCGCGGUAAUACGGAGGGUGCGAGCGUUAAUCGGAAUUACUGGGCGUAAAGCGCGCGUAGGCGGUCUGAUAAGCCGGUUGUGAAAGCCCCGGGCUCAACCUGGGAACGGCAUCCGGAACUGUCAGGCUAGAGUGCAGGAGAGGAAGGUAGAAUUCCCGGUGUAGCGGUGAAAUGCGUAGAGAUCGGGAGGAAUACCAGUGGCGAAGGCGGCCUUCUGGACUGACACUGACGCUGAGGUGCGAAAGCGUGGGUAGCAAACAGGAUUAGAACCCCAGUAGUC